CCCUUAGAUGUUCUGGGCCGCACGCGCGCUACACUGAUGCAUUCAACGAGUUUCUUCCUGGUCCGAGAGGAAUGGGUAACCUUUUGAAAGUGCAUCGUGAUGGGGAUAGACUAUUGCAAUUAUUGGUCUUCAACGAGGAAUUCCUAGUAGACGUAGUUCAUCAGACUGCAUCGAUUGCGUCCCUGCCCUUUGUACACACCGCCCGUCGCUCCUACCGAUUGAAUGCUCAGGUGAGCCAUUCGGACUUUCAUCAUGCUGGUUUCCAGUUUUGAUGAAGGAAAGUCUUGCGAACCUUAUCAUUUAGAGGAAGGAGAAGUCGUAACA
RNAcentral lists this ribosomal RNA (324 nucleotides) under uncultured eukaryote. RNAcentral describes it as "partial 18S ribosomal RNA". It matches the Rfam family "Eukaryotic small subunit ribosomal RNA", at positions 1470 to 1796 of the family's 1831-position model. The record is from RNAcentral.